AUACGUAGGGGGCAAGCGUUAUCCGGAAUUACUGGGCGUAAAGGGAGCGUAGGCGGGUUAUCAAGUUGGAGGUGAAAGCCCAGGGCUCAACCUUGGAAUUGCCUUCAAAACUGAUAACCUUGAGUAUGGGAGAGGUAAGUGGAACUCCGAGUGUAGAGGUGAAAUUCGUAGAUAUUCGGAAGAACACCAGUGGCGAAGGCGACUUACUGGACCAUUACUGACGCUGAGGCUCGAAAGCGUGGGGAGC
This 247-nucleotide ribosomal RNA is filed under the name uncultured bacterium. Its description in RNAcentral is "partial 16S ribosomal RNA". It matches the Rfam family "Bacterial small subunit ribosomal RNA", at positions 523 to 769 of the family's 1533-position model. The record is from RNAcentral.